This 425-nucleotide ribosomal RNA is filed under the name uncultured bacterium. RNAcentral describes it as "partial 16S ribosomal RNA". It matches the Rfam family "Bacterial small subunit ribosomal RNA", at positions 354 to 796 of the family's 1533-position model. The record is from RNAcentral.
GUGGGGAAUCUUGCGCAAUGGGCGAAAGCCUGACACAGCCAUGCCGCGUGAAUGAUGAAGGUCUUAGGAUUGUAAAAUUCUUUCACCGGGGACGAUAAUGACGGUACCCGGAGAAGAAGCUCCGGCUAAAUUCGUGCCAGCAGCCGCGGUAAUACGAAGGGGGCUAGCGUUGCUCGGAAUUACUGGGCGUAAAGGGCGCGUAGGCGGACAGCUUAGUCAGAGGUGAAAGCCCAGGGCUCAACCUUGGAAUUGCCUUUGAUACUGGCUGUCUUGAGUUUGGGAGAGGUGAGUGGAACUCCGAGUGUAGAGGUGAAAUUCGUGGAUAUUCGGAAGAACACCAGUGGCGAAGGCGACUCACUGGCCCAAUACUGACGCUGAGGCGCGAAAGCGUGGGGAGCAAACAGGAUUAGAUACCCUUGUAGUCC